Suricata suricatta (meerkat) is the source of this 778-nucleotide long non-coding RNA. RefSeq lists it as uncharacterized. The record is from RefSeq and is a predicted model, not a curated record. The transcript has 3 exons. Lineage: Eukaryota; Metazoa; Chordata; Mammalia; Carnivora; Herpestidae.
UGUCCCAGACCCUGGAACAUGCCUGGUAUAUCAAAGGUGCUCAAUAAGUGCUUCCUGAGACCGAUUCACAAGAAGGCUCUGGGGUGUGGAAUUCGAGGUUUAAAUUCCAUGCGGAGUUCUGAGAUCGAGUGCACCGGCCGACAUCCCUGGACAGAACGCUAAACCCGCGUGGACGCUGUUGUCAAGGACUGUCUGAACACAGUUCACCGCACAAACUGUGAGCCUCUGAGGAAAGGUAUGUCUCAAGGGAAAAGCCUGAGAAGCCUCUCGAACGGCAGCAGCUGUGAGCUGGGAACGCUGGGUUGGUGGGGAGAUAAAGAAGCUGAUGUAUUUUUCUGAUAGAAGGCUCUAUGCCCAAGAGGAUCCAAGUUCUGAAGGGGGCGCACGACGCUGGCACAGCACCUGGUUCUGUGAGCAAAGAGCUUCCAGAAGGCAGGGUCUUUGUCUAAUCCACUGCCGUGUCCGUAGCACCUAGCACAAUGCUCGACUCAUGGCAGGCAUCCAAGAAAUGUUUGUGACGCAAACGAACUAAUAAAUGGACAUCAACCCCAGUCUGAAGGCAAAGGACAGAUGUAACGUGUGACAAAUCAUUACCGCACAUUGACGUCUUCUCAAAUGUGACCCUCUUACCUCACGCUAACAAAGGAGAAAAGGCCUUCCGUCUACUGAGGAUUUCUUUAGCUCCUCUCUGGCGAAGUCAUAAAUAAUCUCUCCCAAGGCAUUACUCAUUUUACUCGGUCUUUUUUUUUUUUUUAAAUGAAAUGGCAUGACAACUCGC